UUCAUUUGCAGUGAGGUCAUGGUGCUUUGUAAGGAACAACCUAGUCAUUUCCAUGGCAACACACUCUAUCAAAACAUCACCAACCUAUCUGCCCCUUACGUCUAAACUCUCAAGAGUAGGGAGGAGGGGCUGGGAAGGAACAGUAUUGUUCUUAUGGCUUGGAGGUAUAGGUUCAGAGAGAAGAGAGGACAGUUUUUUUCAGGAUGGAAAAAUGAAGAUCCCAAACCCUUGAUUCUAAGAUCAUCAUUUAGUGUCUGACAACAGUAAAGGAAUAAGAAGAGGCGGAGUUACAUGAAAUGCGUAAACAUGUUACCCUCUAGUCAUGAGAAUUUUACUUAAGAAUUUUUUAUUUGUUUGUUUUGGUGGUAAUGGGGACUGAACUCACAGCUUUUAUGCUGAGUGACAUCUCCAGCCUAUUUCUUAUUUAUAAUUUUGAGACAGGGUCUCCCUAAGUUGCUUAGUUACCCG
RNAcentral lists this long non-coding RNA (468 nucleotides) under Fukomys damarensis (Damara mole-rat). RNAcentral describes it as "lncRNA (ENSFDAG00000026222.1)". The record is from RNAcentral. Lineage: Eukaryota; Metazoa; Chordata; Mammalia; Rodentia; Bathyergidae.